AAAUAUAAGUUCGUAACCGAAUCGUGAGGAGGUGUCAAUAUUAGGGAUCAAAGGGGAACUUUGCCAUAAAUAUAUAAGGCCACUUAUUUGAUUUUAAACUCAGAAUUAUACACUUAUCUCAGCUGAAAACCCUUGACCAUCUUCAACCUCAAGAACACCAUAUGCAACACAAUCUUUCAAGUGCCAUAACUUCUUCGUUUUUGGUCCGAUUGAGGUGAUUCUUGCGGCCACGGAACGAGGGGAACGAGCUCUACACAUCUAUCCCUAUCAAUUGAGACUUGAAGAGGCGACUAACAAUGGAACCCGGAACUUAAAAAACGCAACAUCGCUUAGCUGUUAUCGAAGGAUAUGGAUAGCAAGCAUGUGUUUUUCAGGUACCUAGAUUCUGAACUUGGCUAGAAGUUCGUCUUUAACCGGAAGUUCCUUUGUCUAUGUAUAGCCCCGACUUCCGUAGAUGCUGCAGUAGUGUGAUGUCUGACCAGUGUAGCAGUGAAAUUUUAUAUGGUUUAUAGUUGCUGUUAGUUUGUAUAUAUUUGUUUGGCCACGAUAGUUAUGCUUUGUACCACGGAGGUAGAUUCCCGCGAUGUAACUUUGACACUAGUAGUAUAUGCCAGGUUAGUACGUACAAGGUACGGAAACGAUAGACCCGAGCAAGUUGUAAUGUUUUACCAGUGCAAAUAAAUGUGUCUUUGUUAAAUGCUUCCGUUUGUAAGGUCCUUAUAUGAUUAAUGUUUGCGAAACAGUUUUAGUGAA
Molecule: long non-coding RNA, 753 nt
Organism: Mercurialis annua (annual mercury)
Lineage: Eukaryota; Viridiplantae; Streptophyta; Magnoliopsida; Malpighiales; Euphorbiaceae
Exons: 3
Source: RefSeq, a predicted model, not a curated record